Molecule: small nuclear RNA, 161 nt
Filed under: Carassius auratus (goldfish)
Lineage: Eukaryota; Metazoa; Chordata; Actinopteri; Cypriniformes; Cyprinidae
Description: U1 spliceosomal RNA (ENSCARG00000023565.1)
Rfam family: U1 spliceosomal RNA
About the family: U1 is a small nuclear RNA (snRNA) component of the spliceosome (involved in pre-mRNA splicing). Its 5' end forms complementary base pairs with the 5' splice junction, thus defining the 5' donor site of an intron.
Source: Rfam by way of RNAcentral
AUACUUACCUGGCAGGGGAGACACCAUGAUCAGAAGGCGGUUCAACCAGGGCGAGGCUUGUCCAUUGCACUCCGGCCAUGCUGACCCCUGUGAAUUCCCCAAAUGCGGGAAUCUCGACUGCAUAAUUUACGGUAGUGGGAGACUGCGUUCGCGCUCUCCCU